This 895-nucleotide long non-coding RNA is filed under the name Bemisia tabaci. RNAcentral describes it as "lncRNA ENSSSA3NGG010639". Lineage: Eukaryota; Metazoa; Arthropoda; Insecta; Hemiptera; Aleyrodidae. The record is from RNAcentral.
GUAUGAAAUCCGGGAGAUGAUUCAGAAGAUCAAAAUCCUGCAAGAGAAGCGGGCGGAGAUCGAGGCGGAAGCGGCGUUCGCCAAACAGCAGGCGCCCAAACACUACGAGCACAACGGUGGCGUCAUCGGCGUUGCCAAGGAGACCAAUCAGGAACCAGGUCAAGGAAGCUGUCAAGCCCGACGGGACCUGCUCGGUUCGGGGAUGGACAUGGACCAGACGCGCCUCUCCCCGGUGCUGGUGGUCAACGAGCAGGAGCGACUGUCGGCGGCGGCGGCGGCGGCGGGGCGGCAGGAGUCGGGAGCGAUGGAGAUGCUGGCGCCGGGAUACGCGAGCGCCACCUCGCGGCGGCCCCCGAUGACGCCGGCGCAGUCGCUCUCCUACUCCUCGGCCUCGCCGCCCAACGGGCCGGCCCAGUCCUACGUGCGGCGCGACUGCGAGGGCGACGAGGACGAGGACGAGGAGGACUCGUUGCAGAACACGCCGCUCCUCUCGCACAGCGCCAGCAGCCCGGCCGCCGCCGCCUACGCCAACCCCUCCAAGUCCCGCCUCCAGAGGUCCUUCCUCUCCACCAUCCUCAACCACCGCGACUACGCCAACGACUCCGACACCAAUUCGCACUGCGCCCUUCUCAUCACUCAUGACGGCCUACCCGAUCCGGAGGAGGGGAACUCGGGCUCGGAGCGGAAGCGGAAGCAGGAGUCCUACCGCGGCUCCCACUCGGCCGGCAACGGGAACGGCAACGGGAAGAGCAGCGGGAGCAACGGCAACUCGUACGAGAUGAAGGAGAUGAGCCGGAGCCAGGUGUCCUCUCACUCGCACUCCCAGUCCCAGUCUCGCUCUCACUCCCACUCGCACGGCUCCUCGCAGGAGCUCUCGCCCGGGAGCCAGAUCUGA